CGGAACAGUCUCCCCGUGUUCAGCGUGAUCUCAGCUUUCAAUGGGACUUCUCAUUCUGAGAAUCGCCCUCUGGCACACGGUUGUUUGAUGGAAGAAUAACAAAGCGCUGCAGAGUGAGCCUCCCUGUCCUUGACCAACGGAUAUGGCAGUGACACAGAAGACGAGGCAGAUCCAUGCCUGGUCUGGGGAAAGUAAUUUAUUUCCGUUGACCCGUUCGGUCAAGUGGAGUGAAGCUGAGCUUCCAUACUGCCAAAGCCACUUCUGCAAUUACUGAGUGUGAUGGGUCUAAGAUUUUGUUAAGAUACAGCAGUCUGGACCCUUUCUCUCUUGUUGACACCAUUAAGCCGUCACUGAGGUUGGAGAGUGUCAGACACUGAGUGGCUGUCGCUCACCCAUGGCCACACAACAGCUGUUUAAGCUGAUUCUCAUCAGCACUGCUACCCAACCUAGUGGUUCCUUUGUAUUGUAUUACAAUUUGAGCUUGGGGGAGUUGGCGUGCUUGAUAGUUGGAUGACAUUCACUAUUGUCUUACAAAAUGGCAUUGGUUUCCCGCUUAAAGUUGGACCUGGUAGUCAAACUCAAAAAGCUUAAUUACUGUCUGUUCAGUUGUUCCCACCGAAUAGCACGCUGGUUUCCCAAUGUCGAAAACGAAUACCAUUUAACAAAC
Oncorhynchus keta (chum salmon) is the source of this 667-nucleotide long non-coding RNA. RefSeq lists it as uncharacterized. The record is from RefSeq and is a predicted model, not a curated record. Lineage: Eukaryota; Metazoa; Chordata; Actinopteri; Salmoniformes; Salmonidae. The transcript is spliced from 3 exons.